GAUCCUGGCUCAGGAUGAACGCUAGCUACAGGCUUAACACGUGCAAGUCGAGGGGCAGCAUGGUCUUAGCUUGCUAAGACUGAUGGCGACCGGCGCACGGGUGAGUAACACGUAUCCAACCUGCCGUCUACUCUUGGACAGCCUUCUGAAAGGAAGAUUAAUACAAGAUGGCAUCAUGAGUCCGCAUGUUCACAUGAUUAAAGGUAUUCCGGUAGACGAUGGGAGUG
This 227-nucleotide ribosomal RNA is filed under the name uncultured bacterium. RNAcentral's name for it is "partial 16S ribosomal RNA". It matches the Rfam family "Bacterial small subunit ribosomal RNA", at positions 15 to 233 of the family's 1533-position model. The record is from RNAcentral.